RNAcentral lists this transfer RNA (99 nucleotides) under Caudoviricetes sp. RNAcentral's name for it is "tRNA-Leu". The record is from RNAcentral. Lineage: Duplodnaviria; Heunggongvirae; Uroviricota; Caudoviricetes.
UACAUUUGUUGGUUUUGUAAAUGUGUUUUAAAUGCCACGCCAUCUUGAGGGGGUGGUGAGCGUACGCUCGUGAGGGUUCAAGUCCCUCCAACCGCACCA